UACGUAGGGGGCUAGCGUUGUCCGGAUUUAUUGGGCGUAAAGAGCUCGUAGGUGGUUCGGUAAGUCGGAUGUGAAAUCUCCAGGCUCAACCUGGAGGGGUCAUUCGAUACUGCCGUGACUAGAGUUCGGUAGAGGAGUGUGGAAUUCCUGGUGGAGCGGUGAAAUGCGCAGAGAUCAGGAGGAACACCAGUGGCGAAGGCGACACACUGGGUCGCACCUGACGCUAAGACGCGACAGCAUGGGGAGCGAACGGG
This 254-nucleotide ribosomal RNA is filed under the name uncultured bacterium. RNAcentral describes it as "partial 16S ribosomal RNA". It matches the Rfam family "Bacterial small subunit ribosomal RNA", at positions 524 to 776 of the family's 1533-position model. The record is from RNAcentral.